UUGGGCCUUGGGGGAAAAAGGAAAAUGGAAGGGAGAGGUCAUUGUGAUGCCAGAUAACCGCGUCUACUUCCCUAAGGACAUGGCAUGGCACAUAGUCCGACACAUGCACUACACUACACACCUGGGUAAGACGGCCCUAGCAACGUUGUUGGGACGACAGAUGUACAUCGAUGGGCUCCAUAGCUUAACGGCAGCGGCUGCACGCAGGUGCUGGACCUGCGCCAAGAAUAACCCUCGAGAAGGACCCUUAAAGCCCCCAGGAGUUCAACAUGUGACGAAGUGCUCAUUAAGGAGUGGAAGAUUGACCCGCUUGGACCAAAGUGGAGAGGACCCUAUACUGUGCUGUUAUCAACCCCUACCGCCAUCAAAGUGAAGGAAGUCAAACCUUGGAUACACUACACCCGUGCCAAGUUGGCGCCCCCUGUGUGGAAAGUGGAAAAAGCGGAUCAGAGUGACCUGAGACUCAGGAUCGUCCGGCAACCCCCUACGGGGUCAACAAGGCCAUGAAGCUGACCCCAUCGGGUACAACAGAACGUCGAAGGUCAAGUAUGUCGCAGUGUGGCCCAACAAAAGCACUAUCCUGGAAGUGGUGGAAAGACAUUAUGAUGGGAAGGGGAGGAGGAGGCACCAGAAAACCAACAGGAGUUCGGACAAUAUUUGGGUUCCUAAUGCUCAUAAAUAUGAUCACUGUGAUACAGGGAAAUUGGCUAAAA
Non-coding RNA from Anolis sagrei ordinatus, 713 nucleotides. NCBI's taxonomy places the organism in Eukaryota, Metazoa, Chordata, Lepidosauria, Squamata, Anolidae. The record is from RefSeq and is a predicted model, not a curated record.